UGACUUUUUCCAUUUGAAUUCUCAUUCUAUCCGGUUAAUUUGUAGUUUAAAACACAUCAAACACCGAAGAAUGGUUGCGGCCCUUAAAUUCCCAAAACUGAAUAUAUUCAUGCUUUCAAACACAGUUUCAACUUUCAUAUUUUGAAAUCUGAUUUCAUAUCCUCCUCUGUUUCUCUCCAAACUUCUUUAACGUAGUUGUCAACCUUCUUGUGAUGAUGAUUCCAUGGAUAUGGAUAAUGGAUCUAGAUCUAGAUCGAGAUACAAAGUAAAAUUCAAUUACCAUGUUUAUUUCCCAAAUUUUUGUUAUUGCAGGGUCUAUAGUAUGGGAUGCCACAAAAAGCAACAUACCGGAAAACCCCACCAUUUAUCCUUUAUUUCGUAGCUCUAACUUCAGUUGGCUGGUGAUGUUGUUGAAGUAAGAGGCCUUGAUGUACCAUUCCACCCAUGAAGCGAGGAACUCAAUAUAGUGAUCCAUACCAGUUUUACUGAUCCACUGUCUGAAGAAGUAAAACAUAUUUGGAAUUGAGGUUUCUAACUAUUGAUUGUGCUUUUUCUAAUUGUUUUUUUAAUUGAUGCACACAACACAUUUCAAUACGAGUUUGGUUCUUACCUUUAAAGUUCUUGUGUUUUUUAAAGGCAUUUAUAGGAACGCCAAGUGCUCAAUGAAAUUACUCAAUGGGCAUCUAACUUGGAAGAAGCAAAAAAUAUGUUAUUUUUUUUACUAAAAUGCUUUGUGUUUUCAGUUGAAAGGGCAUUUUGAAUUGUUUACUAUGUAUAUUUACAAAAUAAAUAAAUAAAUAAAAUAAUUUAAAUUAAAUUAAAUCUAAGCAUUUAUUAUUUGACCAUUUUCGAUCUGCUCCAUUUUGACUUUUAAGAUAACUCAUAUUCCAUGAUUUAUGAAUUAAGAUCCAAUAUCGUAUCUCCAAUGUGGCUGAAUAUGCAUUAUGUUGUUUAUUUCUUAUUCUUUUGUUAAUGAUAUGACGUUUUUGCUCUUAAUGGAUGACAUUGUUGUAUCAAUUGUUGUUGUUAAAAGAAUCGGUCGAAGUCGAGAAGGUUGCGGUCUUCCCAAGCUAUCGUAGAUGAUGAAGUCAGUGUGACUACUAUUGCUAUUGGAACUUUUGGCUUCCUGGCACCAUGUUUCUUUCUUUCUAUACUUAGAGUAAGAUGUUAUAAUAAAAAAAUAUGAUGUUGUUAACACUUUUGAGUUGUUGAAUAUAUGAAAUUGAGUGAUUGCAAAGCAUCAUUAACAAUGUGAUAUCGUGUGUAUAGCUUUGGGGUUUUGUUGUUAAAUGUGUAAUGGGAAAGAG
Long non-coding RNA from Lactuca sativa (garden lettuce), 1307 nucleotides. RefSeq lists it as uncharacterized. NCBI's taxonomy places the organism in Eukaryota, Viridiplantae, Streptophyta, Magnoliopsida, Asterales, Asteraceae. The record is from RefSeq and is a predicted model, not a curated record.